Molecule: ribosomal RNA, 501 nt
Filed under: uncultured bacterium
Lineage: Bacteria
Description: bacterial SSU rRNA
Rfam family: Bacterial small subunit ribosomal RNA
Source: RNAcentral
AAACUCAAAUGAAUUGACGGGGGCCCGCACAAGCGGUGGAGCAUGUGGUUUAAUUCGAUGCAACGCGAAGAACCUUACCUACUCUUGACAUCCAGAGAACUUAGCAGAGAUGCUUUGGUGCCUUCGGGAACUCUGAGACAGGUGCUGCAUGGCUGUCGUCAGCUCGUGUUGUGAAAUGUUUAGUUAAGUCCCGCAACGAGCGCAACCCUUAUCCUUUGUUGCCAGCGGUCCGGCCGGGAACUCAAAGGAGACUGCCAGUGAUAAACUGGAGGAAGGUGGGGAUGACGUCAAGUCAUCAUGGCCCUUACGAGUAGGGCUACACACGUGCUACAAUGGCGCAUACAAAGAGAAGCGACCUCGCGAGAGCAAGCGGACCUCAUAAAGUGCGUCGUAGUCCGGAUUGGAGUCUGCAACUCGACUCCAUGAAGUCGGAAUCGCUAGUAAUCGUAGAUCAGAAUGCUACGGUGAAUACGUUCCCGGGCCUUGUACACACCGCCCGUC